AAAACAUGGCUCCUUGUUAAUAAAAAAUAAGGAGUCGGACCUGCCCAGUGAAUUUUUUCAACGGCCGCGGUACUCUGACCGUGCAAAGGUAGCAUAAUCAUUUGCCUUAUAAUUGAGGGCUAGUAUGAAUGGUUUGACAAGAAUGAAGCUGUCUCUUUACAAUUUAAUAGAAUUUUAUUUACAGGUGAAGAAGCCUGUAUUAAAUUAAAAGACAAGAAGACCCUAUCGAGCUUGAAAAAAAUUAAUAGGAGGACAAUCAAUAUAUCUAUAAGAUUAACUAUUAAAAAUUUUAGUUGGGGCGACUGAGGAACAAAUAAAGCUUCCUUUAUGGUUAUAAAAUAUAAAACAUACAGGUAUUGAUCCAGAACAAUCUGAUUAACGAAAUUAGUUACCGUAGGGAUAACAGCAUUAUCUUUUUUAAGAGCUCUUAUCGAAAAAAAGGUUUGUGACCUCGAUGUUGGACCAGAAUAUCCUAAAGAUGCAGCAGUCUUUAAGGGUUGGUCUGUUCGACCAUUAAAAUUCUACGUGA
This is a ribosomal RNA of 529 nucleotides. It matches the Rfam family "Bacterial large subunit ribosomal RNA", at positions 1810 to 2603 of the family's 2925-position model.